This 76-nucleotide long non-coding RNA is filed under the name Dasypus novemcinctus (nine-banded armadillo). Its description in RNAcentral is "Six3os1 conserved region 3 (ENSDNOG00000046479.1)". It matches the Rfam family "Six3os1 conserved region 3". The record is from RNAcentral. Lineage: Eukaryota; Metazoa; Chordata; Mammalia; Cingulata; Dasypodidae.
AGAAUCCUUUUUGGGGUCGGCCGCCUCCAGAGCUGCGCAGGGUGGACACACAAAACCAAAACCCGAAGUUGGGAAA